Long non-coding RNA from Ooceraea biroi (clonal raider ant), 1734 nucleotides. RefSeq lists it as uncharacterized. The record is from RefSeq and is a predicted model, not a curated record. NCBI's taxonomy places the organism in Eukaryota, Metazoa, Arthropoda, Insecta, Hymenoptera, Formicidae.
ACGCCCUCGGGUUUUUAAUUAGAAUGAAUACAGAGACCAGCUUCGCAUAAUUAAAAUAUUUUUAAUACGGAAAAGGAGCUAAUUGACUUGAAGUAACUCGAAGAUUCAGGGCGAAACAAGCGAAGGAGUCACUAGUGAUCGUUAGUGGUGAGGCACGAAUCGUGAAGCUGUAGUAAGGUGAAUUGUGAGGUUAGGAAACGAGGCUCGUUCGUGUAACGCGAAUGCAGCAAAAAAAUCGAUUCUAUGAAGAAGUCUGCAUGAACAAUACAAUCAGAUAAUAUCAGGUAUUAUACUUGUGAUGUUUCUACGUGCAGUAGCCCAGCGCAAAUAUAUGCAAGUAAAUGUCGAAUCGCUUGGAAUAACUGGAAAUAUGAAACGAUAUUUCGUAUUAUUUGCGCGAAUUUAGUUUCAAAAUACACAUUUUAACGUUAAAUUCUGACGCUACGUGUUUUGCUUUGCUUAAAAUCGCGUUGCCAACACACUAAUUAUUAUUACAGCUGGAUGAUAUAUUUUUCAUCCGCUAUGUCGAAUUAUUGCAAUUAAAAACACGUGAAUUUCAUGUAGAGAACGCAACGUCCCAAUUUUGCAUCACCGAAAAAUUAUACCAAAUGUAAAUUGAAUGUUUGUAUGUGCAACGCAAUCCAACUAAACGAGAUAUUUCUAUACAGAUCCCGUGCAGAAAAUUGUUAGGGCCUAGUAUGAAAGUAAAGGCCCCUAUAAGGAAUAAAUAGGGAUGUCCUAAAAAGAGAUGCCCUAUCAUUGCCACAUCGUGGCCCGAUUAGAUAUUAUAUUUUUUAUUAUUUCCUUAUAAGGUCCCGAAAAAAUAUUUGUUACAUACCAUUCUAGGGCCAUAUUAAUAUUGAGGAAAAUUAAUCGGGUCCUACUUAGGACCCUAUACAUUUUUUUACACGGGAUGCGGCACGCUAGAUUACAUAGCGAAACAUGUAUGUGUAAUUACUUUCUGCCUAAGGCAAUGCGACAAUGUACGUGCAACUUGCAUUAUACGGUAUGUAAUACACAGAUCAAAUUGCGACGACAAUUGCGGUAUUGUUUGAACGAAUAAUAUUUAUAGUUAGGUGCGGUUAAUGCUUGCGUCUCGAGACGGUAUUUUCCGCUGUCUCUCGAUGGGUUUUCAAUUUAAUCGAGAUGAAGCCAAUCACGCGAAUCCAUUCAUACAGUUGCGCAUGUACGGAAUAUAUACAUAUGUAGAAACGAGAUAUACGAUCUGUAUAUGUUCGCGCGCGCGCGUGUGUGUGUAUAUGUACAUGCAUUCGUAUAUGCGACAAUCGCGGAAAUGCUGACCCUAUCGGUGGUACCGGUCGUAAUCUUAAAUUCGAACGUGUGCGUAGCACGUACUGUUUAUCUAUCGCUUUGCAAUCGGCAACGAUAAACAACGGUUUAUUUGGCGAUGUAUAUGUAUACACGAAUACAGAUUGUAUUAUACAUGCGCAAGAUUGCAAAGAGCGCAAUUAAUUCACUAGCAUUGUUCGUUAAAACAUAAUCAGCAAUGUUAAUAAUUUCGCCAACGGAUUUAAGUUUUUUAUUUAUAUUGUAUCUUAACGUUCACUCAAAUAUUUAUUUUGCAGACAAGACAUAAGUUCACGAUUCAUUUAAUUGUAUAAUAUAUGUAUAUUUGUAUGCGAAUUAUAAGUCUAGAGUAUACCAGUUUUACUAGUUUUAAGUUGAAAAUAUUCUAUAUGUUUUUCAGAGAACAAUACAAAUAUUUCGUACAAU